This 253-nucleotide ribosomal RNA is filed under the name uncultured bacterium. Its description in RNAcentral is "partial 16S ribosomal RNA". It matches the Rfam family "Bacterial small subunit ribosomal RNA", at positions 524 to 776 of the family's 1533-position model. The record is from RNAcentral.
UACGUAGGGUCCGAGCGUUGUCCGGAAUUAUUGGGCGUAAAGGGCUCGUAGGCGGUUUGUCGCGUCGGGAGUGAAAACUCAGGGCUUAACCCUGAGCCUGCUUCCGAUACGGGCAGACUAGAGGUAUGCAGGGGAGAACGGAAUUCCUGGUGUAGCGGUGAAAUGCGCAGAUAUCAGGAGGAACACCGGUGGCGAAGGCGGUUCUCUGGGCAUUACCUGACGCUGAGGAGCGAAAGUGUGGGGAGCGAACAGG